RNAcentral lists this transfer RNA (74 nucleotides) under Sus scrofa (pig). It matches the Rfam family "tRNA". From Rfam's summary of the family: Transfer RNA (tRNA) molecules are approximately 80 nucleotides in length. Their secondary structure includes four short double-helical elements and three loops (D, anti-codon, and T loops). The record is from Rfam by way of RNAcentral. Lineage: Eukaryota; Metazoa; Chordata; Mammalia; Artiodactyla; Suidae.
UCCCUGGUGGUUCAGUGGGUUAAGGAUGUGGCAUUGUCACUGCUGUGGCACGCGUUCGAUUCCUGGCCUGGGAA